AACGAACGCUGGCGGCAGGCUUAAUACAUGCAAGCCGAACGCCCCUUUCGGGGGGAGUGGCAGACGGGUGAGUAACGCGUGGGAACGUGCCCAAAGGUAGGGAACAACUCCGGGAAACUGGAGCUAAUACCCUAUGUGCCCGAGAGGGGAAAGAUUUAUCGCCUUUGGAUCGGCCCGCGUUGGAUUAGCUAGUUGGUGGGGUAAAAGCCUACCAAGGCGACGAACCAUAGCUGUUCUGAGAGGAAGAUCAGCCACACUGGGACUGAGACGCGGCCCAGAAUCCUACGGGAGGCAGCAGUAGGGAAUCUUGGACAAUGGGCGCAAGCCUGAUCCAGCCAUGCCGCGUGAGUGAUGAAGGCCUUAGGGUUGUAAAACUCUUUCGCAGGUGACGAUAAUGACGGUAACCUGAGAAGAAGCCCCGGCUAACUUCGUGCCAGCCGCCGCCGUAA
This 449-nucleotide ribosomal RNA is filed under the name uncultured bacterium. Its description in RNAcentral is "partial 16S ribosomal RNA". It matches the Rfam family "Bacterial small subunit ribosomal RNA", at positions 29 to 523 of the family's 1533-position model. The record is from RNAcentral.